Molecule: unclassified non-coding RNA, 267 nt
Filed under: plant metagenome
Description: partial contains small subunit ribosomal RNA, internal transcribed spacer 1, and 5.8S ribosomal RNA
Source: RNAcentral
UUUCCGUAGGUGAACCUGCGGAAGGAUCAUUAUCGUACAAAAUGUGAGGGGCAUGCGAGGGCUGUCGCUGACCCAAAGGUCGUGCGCGCCCGAGUGUGUCCUCUUGCAUAAUAAUCCAUCUCACCCUUUGUGCAUCACCGCGUGGGCACCCUUCGGGAUCAUCUCGGAGGGGGGCCCGCGUUUUCACACAAACCCCCCUUUUAAAAGUGUAGAAUGACCACAUUUAUGCGAUCAAUACAACUUUCAACAACGGAUCUCUUGGCUCUC